GUGCUCACUAGUUCAAAGAUUAAAAAUUCCUAAAUAAUUCUGCAAUCGUCGCACACAUUUACAUCUGUUGUGUUAUUUUCUCCCAUUGCUGCUACACAUCAUGGACGGUAACUUCGUGUUUUUUGUACUGUUGAUACUGCAAUUACCCGUGUACCUUUGUAUGCACUUCACGGAAUGCUAUUUAAAGCAUUCAUUACAGCUAACAUGUACAGUAGCGCUUUCGUCAAACACGCAUUUCGUCUUCUACAUGCGUACAGAUGAUGCCGAGCGUCCGAGGACCUUUCCAAGAGGCGUAGCGCAAAUUUUCCUGUUAUGGCGUACAGUAGCGGCGCACUAGACUCAGUUGGCACACCUAUCACUCCAGCUACUAUACCGACACUGCAACACACGAAACGCCACGACGUAAGCGGAAUCUUGGCGAUGUGGUGGUUCUAGAGCUUACAUAGAAGCGUAAGCAGAUCGCCUAGCACAGCGCACUGGUCUUACGCGGAUAUGUGACGCCUGCUCGUACUAUACGAUCCAACAGAUACGCUGUGCGCACUAUGCCGAGGGUGUGAAGCCAAAUUUCAGCUGGACCCUUGCAUUCAGCAAGACCGACGCAGCAAGACAGCAGCCAUUGCCAGCCACUGAUAUGGAAGUGGAAAGCAAGCAUCACAAUAAAGCAUAGCCAGAAAUAGCACUACAGGCACACAAUUCUACCGAAGAAGGACAAUUUUGAACACAUGGGAGCAGCACGAGCAUGAAGAGCCUGGCACAAAACCACGCACACUUCUACUGCAGAGGGACAGGUGUCAUCAGUACCACACGCACACACUUCUGCUUCAGAAGGACAAUUUUGAACACAUGGGAGCAGCACAAGGAUGAAGCGACUGGCUCAAAACCAUGCACACUUCUACUGCAAAGGGAGAAGUGUCAGCACAUGGCAGCAACAAGCAGUGAUCACCUCGCACGAAACAGCACACGCCGUGGGGAAGCACAAGGCGGCAAGUGUCAUCAGGUGGCAGCAACAAGCAGUGAUCACCUCGCACGAAACAGCACACGCAGUGGGGAAGCACAAGGCGGCAAGUGUCAUCAGGUGGCAGCACCAAGCAGUCAUCACCUCGCACGAAACAGCACACGCAGUGCGGAAGCACAAGGCGGCAAGUGUCAUCAGGUGGCAGCAACAAGCAGUCAUCACCUCGCACGAAACAGCACACGCAGUGCGGAAGCACAAGGCGGCAAGUGUCAUCAGGUGGCAGCACCAAGCAGUCAUCACCUCGCACGAAACAGCACAAGCAGUGCGGAAGCACAAGGCGGCAAGUGUCAUCAGGUGGCAGCACCAAGCAGUCAUCACCUCGCACGAAACAGCACACGCACUGCGGAAGCACAAGGCGGCAAGUGUCAUCAGGUGGCAGCACCAAGCAGUCAUCACCUCGCACGAAACAGCACACGCAGUGGGGAAGCACAAGGCGGCAAGUGUC
Long non-coding RNA from Dermacentor silvarum, 1460 nucleotides. RefSeq lists it as uncharacterized. The transcript is spliced from 4 exons. The record is from RefSeq and is a predicted model, not a curated record. Lineage: Eukaryota; Metazoa; Arthropoda; Arachnida; Ixodida; Ixodidae.